RNAcentral lists this unclassified non-coding RNA (387 nucleotides) under rhizosphere metagenome. RNAcentral describes it as "partial ribosomal RNA internal transcribed spacer region". The record is from RNAcentral.
GUAGGUGAACCUGCGGAAGGAUCAUUUCCGAAAAAACAUAACCAAAAUCAACCCCACACACACACACAAAAAGAGAGAGGUUAGGUGGAGAUCACUCUUUGCCUUCUCCUCUCUUUUUUUGUUGUUGUUGUUGUUCAUGUGUACUUGAUAUGUUCUGUCAUAUCAUUUUAGUCCGAGUGUCCUUCCUUUUUUUUUUACUCUCGAAGACUUCUUCUGUAAGUCGGAGAGAGGCCAUUGAAGAACCCCACUUUAAUCCUUGUCAAUCCUUUUACCAAGAAAAAAAAGAGGAUUGAUUUUGGAGAAAAAGCGAAAAAUUAAAAGUUUUUAAAUUCUUUAUCGAAACAAAAAAUUAUACGACAACUUUUAACGGUGGAUCUCUUGGCUCGU